Molecule: ribosomal RNA, 397 nt
Filed under: uncultured bacterium
Lineage: Bacteria
Description: bacterial SSU rRNA
Rfam family: Bacterial small subunit ribosomal RNA
Source: RNAcentral
AACGAACGCUGGCGGCGCGCCUAAUACAUGCAAGUCGAACGAGAAGGUGUAGCAAUACACUUGUAAAGUGGCGAACGGGUGAGGAAUACAUGGGUGACCUACCCUCGAGUGGGGAAUAACCAGCCGAAAGGUUGGCUAAUACCGCGUACGCUUCCCAGUCUACGGGUUGGGAAGGAAAGCGAUGCCGUGGGUAUCGCGCUCAAGGUUGGGCUCAUGUCCUAUCAGCUUGUUGGUGAGGUAACGGCUCACCAAGGCAACGACGGGUAGCUGGUCUGAGAGGACGAUCAGCCACACUGGCACUGCGACACGGGCCAGACUCCUACGGGAGGCAGCAGUAAGGAAUAUUGCGCAAUGGGCGAAAGCCUGACGCAGCGACGCCGCGUGGGGGAUGAAGGUC